CUGAAGUUUCUCUAACAGAAUAUGAAUCCUGACGCAACAACAAGGAGAGGGAGGGAGAAAGCAGUGGGAAGAUCCUCAGAGUUUCUUUUCUCCAUACCGAUGUGAUCGUCCACGUCAGUGGGGCUCGGUCCAGUGCCUAGUGGCCUUCUCCCCUCCUGCCAGUGCCACAUGGACUUUUCUUCUGGGAUAGUGCAAAAAGCUUCCUCCUC
This 209-nucleotide long non-coding RNA is filed under the name Homo sapiens (human). RNAcentral's name for it is "HSALNT0012740". Lineage: Eukaryota; Metazoa; Chordata; Mammalia; Primates; Hominidae. The record is from RNAcentral.